Molecule: ribosomal RNA, 496 nt
Filed under: uncultured bacterium
Lineage: Bacteria
Description: partial 16S ribosomal RNA
Rfam family: Bacterial small subunit ribosomal RNA
Source: RNAcentral
GAUGAACGCUGGCGGCGUGCCUAAUACAUGCCAGUCGAGCGAACGGACGAGAAGCUUGCUUCUCUGAUGUUAGCGGCGGACGGGUGAGUAACACGUGGAUAACCUACCUAUAAGACUGGGAUAACUUCGGGAAACCGGAGCUAAUACCGGAUGAUAUUUUGAACCGCAUGGUUCAAAAGUGAAAGACGGUCUUGCUGUCACUUAUAGAUGGAUCCGCGCUGCAUUAGCUAGUUGGUAAGGUAAUGGCUUACCAAGGCAACGAUGCAUAGCCGACCUGAGAGGGUGAUCGGCCACACUGGGACUGAGACACGGUCCAGACUCCUACGGGAGGCAGCAGUAGGGAAUCUUCCGCAAUGGGCGAAAGCCUGACGGAGCAACGCCGCGUGAGUGAUGAAGGUCUUCGGAUCGUAAAACUCUGUUAUUAGGGAAGAACAUAUGUGUAAGUAACUGUGCACAUCUUGACGGUACCUAAUCAGAAAGCCACGGCUAACUACGU